This 430-nucleotide long non-coding RNA is filed under the name Anas platyrhynchos platyrhynchos (common mallard). RNAcentral's name for it is "lncRNA (ENSAPLG00000023474.1)". The record is from RNAcentral. Lineage: Eukaryota; Metazoa; Chordata; Aves; Anseriformes; Anatidae.
CCAACCACCCAGAAACCGAUGAUUUAUAAUUGAAUUUUCCCCUUAAUUUGUCAGUGAGAGCUUCAGAGGCAGCUCAGGUGCUCCCAGUUAUAAAUUCGGCAGAGUUCAACCUGGGGAGCCCCAGCUCCCUCCUGAUGGCAUUGCAGUUUGUGCCAGGAGGGUUGGAAGAAGGAGCAAGCAGAGCAGAGGUUGGAGAGGGCCGUGUCAUGCGCAGGGUACAGAAGACCAACAAAACAGGCUCCACGUGCUCGCUGCGAGGGGGCUGGCAGCAGGCGAGGAACAUCGUCUCUUGCUCCGUUGAAGUCAAGCAGAAAUGACCCUGGAAAUCAGCAUCCUGCUCAGUAGCCUCUGCUAGGAACACAGCAAAGCUGAAGGCUGCCUCGCUCCAGUCCCACUUAGGCAAUUCUGCGGGAAGGUAACGGCACUGGCU